AGUGAACGCUGGCGGUAGGCCUAACACAUGCAAGUCGAACGGCAGCACAGUAAGAGCUUGCUCUUACGGGUGGCGAGUGGCGGACGGGUGAGGAAUACAUCGGAAUCUACUUUUUCGUGGGGGAUAACGUAGGGAAACUUACGCUAAUACCGCAUACGACCUACGGGUGAAAGCAGGGGAUCUUCGGACCUUGCGCGAUUGAAUGAGCCGAUGUCGGAUUAGCUAGUUGGCGGGGUAAAGGCCCACCAAGGCGACGAUCCGUAGCUGGUCUGAGAGGAUGAUCAGCCACACUGGAACUGAGACACGGUCCAGACUCCUACGGGAGGCAGCAGUGGGGAAUAUUGGACAAUGGGCGAAAGCCUGAUCCAGCCAUACCGCGUGGGUGAAGAAGGCCUUCGGGUUGUAAAGCCCUUUUGUUGGGAAAGAAAAGCAGCAGGUUAAUACCCCGCUGUUCUGACGGUACCAAAAGAGUAAGCACCGGCUAACUUCGUG
This 492-nucleotide ribosomal RNA is filed under the name uncultured bacterium. RNAcentral describes it as "partial 16S ribosomal RNA". It matches the Rfam family "Bacterial small subunit ribosomal RNA", at positions 29 to 507 of the family's 1533-position model. The record is from RNAcentral.